UUUAGAUAAAAGUACAUGUGAUAGUUUAUAUAAUUUAAAAAACUCACUACGAGAAGAACAACACAAGAUAAUAAAUAACAUUGAAAAUCUAGAAUUAGAUAUACAUUAUAGUACAGAUAGGAUAAAUUAUUAUACAAGAAUUUGUAACUCUGCAAUUACUACAGGAUAAAAUAAUUAAUGAAUAUAUCUUACGAAAAAAGUAAAUUAUUAAAAGAUAUUAAAACAAAAUAUCCACGCACUAAUAAAAAUAGAUUCACUAGAAACCUACUAAAUCUAUU
This 278-nucleotide long non-coding RNA is filed under the name Capsicum annuum. Its description in RNAcentral is "long non-coding RNA (CANN_LNC008364)". The record is from RNAcentral. Lineage: Eukaryota; Viridiplantae; Streptophyta; Magnoliopsida; Solanales; Solanaceae.